RNAcentral lists this ribosomal RNA (388 nucleotides) under uncultured bacterium. Its description in RNAcentral is "bacterial SSU rRNA". It matches the Rfam family "Bacterial small subunit ribosomal RNA", at positions 99 to 522 of the family's 1533-position model. The record is from RNAcentral.
CGCACGGGUGCGUAACGCGUGGGAAUCUGCCCUUGGGUUCGGAAUAACAGUGAGAAAUUGCUGCUAAUACCGGAUGAUGUCUUCGGACCAAAGAUUUAUCGCCCAGGGAUGAGCCCGCGUAGGAUUAGGUAGUUGGUGGGGUAAUGGCCUACCAAGGCGACGAUCCUUAGCUGGUCUGAGAGGAUGAUCAGCCACACUGGGACUGAGACACGGCCCAGACUCCUACGGGAGGCAGCAGUGGGGAAUAUUGGACAAUGGGCGAAAGCCUGAUCCAGCAAUGCCGCGUGAGUGAUGAAGGCCUUAGGGUUGUAAAGCUCUUUUACCAGGGAUGAUAAUGACAGUACCUGGAGAAUAAGCUCCGGCUAACUCCGUGCCAGCAGCCGCGGUA